Molecule: small RNA, 297 nt
Filed under: Arabidopsis thaliana (thale cress)
Lineage: Eukaryota; Viridiplantae; Streptophyta; Magnoliopsida; Brassicales; Brassicaceae
Description: ATSL077300
Source: RNAcentral
GGGUAUAUCUUCCACGCUUUCUUCUUGAUCACUUAAACACUUCCGUAAUUGUGACACAUGGAAGACGUUGUGAAACGCAUUUAAUUUUGGAGGAAGGUCAAGUUUGUAUGCCACCGCCCCUACUCGUUUGAUCACCUUGUACGGGCCAACAUACCUUGGGCUUAACUUUUUCCUUGAGGUGAAUCGCCCUGCCCCUUUGUAGGUCAUCGCCUUUAAGUACACCAAAUCUCCUACUUGGAAUUCCAAUUCCUUUCGACGUUUGUUGGCGUAGCUUUUCUGUCGAUCUUGGGCUUCCUU